RNAcentral lists this ribosomal RNA (435 nucleotides) under uncultured bacterium. RNAcentral's name for it is "bacterial SSU rRNA". It matches the Rfam family "Bacterial small subunit ribosomal RNA", at positions 41 to 524 of the family's 1533-position model. The record is from RNAcentral.
GGCAUGCCUACCAUGCAAGUCGAACGAAGCCUUCGGGCUUAGUGGCGCACGGGUGCGUAACACGUGGGAAUCUGCCCUUGGGUUCGGAAUAACAGUUAGAAAUGACUGCUAAUACCGGAUAAUGACGUAAGUCCAAAGAUUUAUCGCCCAAGGAUGAGCCCGCGUCGGAUUAGCUAGUUGGUGAGGUAAAGGCUCACCAAGGCGACGAUCCGUAGCUGGUCUGAGAGGAUGAUCAGCCACACUGGGACUGAGACACGGCCCAGACUCCUACGGGAGGCAGCAGUGGGGAAUAUUGGACAAUGGGCGAAAGCCUGAUCCAGCAAUGCCGCGUGAGUGAUGAAGGCCUUAGGGUUGUAAAGCUCUUUUACCCGGGAUGAUAAUGACAGUACCGGGAGAAUAAGCCCCGGCUAACUCCGUGCCAGCAGCCGCGGUAAU